GGGAGCUUGCUCCCUGAUUCAGCGGCGGACGGGUGAGUAAUGCCUAGGAAUCUGCCUGGUAGUGGGGGACAACGUCUCGAAAGGGACGCUAAUACCGCAUACGUCCUACGGGAGAAAGCAGGGGACCUUCGGGCCUUGCGCUAUCAGAUGAGCCUAGGUCGGAUUAGCUAGUUGGUGAGGUAAUGGCUCACCAAGGCUGCGAUCCGUAACUGGUCUGAGAGGAUGAUCAGUCACACUGGAACUGAGACACGGUCCAGACUCCUACGGGAGGCAGCAGUGGGGAAUAUUGGACAAUGGGCGAAAGCCUGAUCCAGCCAUGCCGCGUGUGUGAAGAAGGUCUUCGGAUUGUAAAGCACUUUAAGUUGGGAGGAAGGGCAGUAAGUUAAUACCUUGCUGUUUUGACGUUACCGACAGAAUAAGCACCGGCUAACUUCGUGCCAGCAGCCGCGGUAAUACGAAGGGUGCAAGCGUUAAUCGGAAUUACUGGGCGUAAAGCGCGCGUAGGUGGUUUGUUAAGUUGGAAGUGAAAGCCCCGGGCUCAACCUGGGAACUGCUUUCAAAACUGGCAAGCUAGAGUAUGGCAGAGGGUGGUGGAAUUUCCUGUGUAGCGGUGAAAUGCGUAGAUAUAGGAAGGAACACCAGUGGCGAAGGCGACCACCUGGGCUAAUACUGACACUGAGGUGCGAAAGCGUGGGGAGCAAACAGGAUUAGAUACCCUGGUAGUCCACGCCGUAAACGAUGUCGACUAGCCGUUGGGCUCCUUGAGAGCUUAGUGGCGCAGCUAACGCAUUAAGUCGACCGCCUGGGGAGUACGGCCGCAAGGUUAAAACUCAAAUGAAUUGACGGGGGCCCGCACAAGCGGUGGAGCAUGUGGUUUAAUUC
RNAcentral lists this ribosomal RNA (882 nucleotides) under Stutzerimonas xanthomarina. Its description in RNAcentral is "bacterial SSU rRNA". It matches the Rfam family "Bacterial small subunit ribosomal RNA", at positions 74 to 952 of the family's 1533-position model. The record is from RNAcentral. Lineage: Bacteria; Pseudomonadati; Pseudomonadota; Gammaproteobacteria; Pseudomonadales; Pseudomonadaceae.